CUCUCCCACAAAGCACAAGACUCU
This 24-nucleotide non-coding RNA is filed under the name Cricetulus griseus (Chinese hamster). The record is from RNAcentral. Lineage: Eukaryota; Metazoa; Chordata; Mammalia; Rodentia; Cricetidae.